GAUGAACGCUGGCGGCGUGCCUAAUACAUGCAAGUCGAGCGAACGGACGAGAAGCUUGCUUCUCUGAUGUUAGCGGCGGACGGGUGAGUAACACGUGGAUAACCUACCUAUAAGACUGGGAUAACUUCGGGAAACCGGAGCUAAUACCGGAUAAUAUUUUGAACCGCAUGGUUCAAAAGUGAAAGACGGUCUUGCUGUCACUUAUAGAUGGAUCCGCGCUGCAUUAGCUAGUUGGUAAGGUAACGGCUUACCAAGGCAACGAUGCAUAGCCGACCUGAGAGGGUGAUCGGCCACACUGGAACUGCGCCACGGUCCAGACUCCUACGGGAGGCAGCAGUAGGGAAUCUUCCGCAAUGGGCGAAAGCCUGACGGAGCAACGCCGCGUGAGUGAUGAAGGUCUUCGGAUCGUAAAACUCUGUUAUUAGGGAAGAACAUAUGUGUAAGUAACUGUGCACAUCUUGACGGUACCUAAUCAGAAAGCCACGGCUAACUACGUG
Molecule: ribosomal RNA, 497 nt
Filed under: uncultured bacterium
Lineage: Bacteria
Description: partial 16S ribosomal RNA
Rfam family: Bacterial small subunit ribosomal RNA
Source: RNAcentral